Molecule: non-coding RNA, 81 nt
Filed under: chicken gut metagenome
Description: Glycine riboswitch
Rfam family: Glycine riboswitch aptamer
About the family: This family represents the bacterial glycine riboswitch. Glycine riboswitches usually consist of two metabolite-binding aptamers domains with similar structures in tandem.
Source: RNAcentral
AGCUCUGGAGAAUCUCGAUGGUGAGUGCCGAAGGUGCAAGGCCCGUUUGGGCUGAAUCUCUCAGGCAAAAGGACAGAGCAG